UACGUAGGGGGCUAGCGUUGUCCGGAAUCAUUGGGCGUAAAGCGCGUGUAGGCGGGUCUUUAAGUCAGGGGUGAAAUCCUGGAGCUCAACUCCAGAACUGCCUUUGAUACUGAAGAUCUUGAGUUCGGGAGAGGUGAGUGGAACUGCGAGUGUAGAGGUGAAAUUCGUAGAUAUUCGCAAGAACACCAGUGGCGAAGGCGGCUCACUGGCCCGAUACUGACGCUGAGGCACGAAAGCGUGGGGAGCAAACAGG
RNAcentral lists this ribosomal RNA (253 nucleotides) under uncultured bacterium. RNAcentral's name for it is "partial 16S ribosomal RNA". It matches the Rfam family "Bacterial small subunit ribosomal RNA", at positions 524 to 776 of the family's 1533-position model. The record is from RNAcentral.